Molecule: ribosomal RNA, 360 nt
Filed under: Triticum aestivum (bread wheat)
Lineage: Eukaryota; Viridiplantae; Streptophyta; Magnoliopsida; Poales; Poaceae
Description: partial small subunit ribosomal RNA
Source: RNAcentral
AGAAAAUAUCCAUCCGGAAGUCAUAAAAGAAAGAAGAAGAAGAAGGCAGAUGACGAGAAAGAAGCAUUGAGCGGAUCUCUUUUUAAUUAUUAUACGCCCAGUAAUCCAGACGAGUUGGCGAUAGUUCUUGCGGGUGACCGAACUGAUUGCAAUCCGGAAGAUGAUGGUCAUACUCCUACAGAAGGCGAUGUUGACGUCAACAUGGAUGAUAGCAAUGUGAGUGAUCAUGAGCCCAUAUUUAAUUCAUCUGCGGCAGAAUCUACUAGUGUUGAUGAUGAACCAAUUAGUGUGGAUAUUUAUGAUCCAAGCAAUUGGGGUAACCUUGAUAACAAAGCGAGGGACAUAUUAGUGGAAAAGGGG